CUUUAAUCUAUUUCCUCUAUUUCUCUUUUUUGGAGUGAGUGUUGGGAGUGAACGUGGUGGUGUGAGUUUUCCAAUCCUCUUUUUUUUCUUAAGGUGGUGAUUUAUUUGUGUGUUUGGAGUCGGCAUGGCCGGUCAGCAUGGCAGCAGGAGGAUUUGCUGUAGGACAUGUGAUUCGCUCAUGCCCGGAGAGAGCAGGUGAGAGCCGGCCAGCUGCUCACGCAGAGGAUCCGCCGCCCGUUAAAGCCGAAAGCGGAGGCUCGGUACCGGACGGACCGCAGGGAAGCAUGCAGGCCUCGCAGGAGGAAACCCGAGACAAUAGCUAUCUUCGAGGGUGAACAAAACGAACAAGAUGGUGUAACGGAGGAAGUGUUGCCUAAUGAGACAGACAACUGCCAGGAAAGAUCACACAUUCAUGUCUGUGUUACCAGAGGUCAUAAAUUUACACAAAGACUGUCAGCCAGUGGGGACAUGGGAUGUCAAAGCAUAGACAAAAGCUUAUUUAUGUAUCAACAGUUCUGCGUAAGUAUCCUCGUUGGCAAACCAUUUUCUGAAAAUUUGUUUAUAGUUGAAACAAAACGCACGAUUCUUU
Molecule: long non-coding RNA, 589 nt
Organism: Ictalurus punctatus (channel catfish)
Lineage: Eukaryota; Metazoa; Chordata; Actinopteri; Siluriformes; Ictaluridae
Source: Ensembl